GUACACAAUGUUUAUAAUUCCAGGGAAGUGAAAAGAGCAACUUUCCUCUAUAAUGUAAUUAUGUACUUUCUACAUCUAUGGUAACAAUACCUUAGUUUGAUUAUAGGUAUUUGUUUAGCGAUAGUCAGUUGGCCCUAGGCUAUAGUUCUAGAGGGUUUGGAAAAUCUCCCACAUCAGAGGUGGAAGCAGUGGAAGGAAAACAACAACAAAGGAUCAUGAUAAAGGACUCUGCUGUUACUCAAUGGAGAUACUAAUGCUAUGGAAACCAGCCAUAGGAAAUAAGCCAUUUGGGGAUGGUGUAAAGAGCAGGCUAUAAUGAAACCACUUAUAAUAUGUAAGAUAACAGAAAUCUACAACAUAUUUCUCAAUCAAAAUGAAGACAUUCGGCAUGUACUAGCAGAACCAAUUCAAACUGGAACAAAGAUGGGGCGAGUGGACAUUGCCUUUUCCUCCAAGGGUUGGUUUGACAUCUUAUAAUCACUUUAUAUAACAGCCAUUCUCCCAGUAAAAAGUGAAAAACCAGAGGAAGAGGUCUUGCUUCAUCCAACUCCACUGAUUUUGGCUUUGAGAGAAUACAGCUUUAAGAAGGUAUUCCCGGGAAUAUCCCAGGAACUCUAUCCGCCCCCUCAGAAUAGUAGGCAAUUGAGUUAGUGAUGGUGACUCAGGCAGGCUUUUUCAUCCUGAUCUAAAGGAACCACUACAACCCUAGAGAGAGAAAUAAAAAGGGAAUCGAGUGGAAAAGGCCUCCACCACCGAUGACUCAUGCUCUACUGUGACUCGCCUGGUACAUCACUCUGUGGCUAAGACAUGGAGGCUUGGUUCAUUAGUCACUUCAGUGAUUUUUUCAAAGCAAGGAUUCUCCCUCUAAAUAAUCAUGAGCUCUGCUUCCACAGUGUUUGUAUGUGAGCUUGUGACUCACCUUUCCACCAUGCCAGGCAGUACCAAUUGUGUCAUCUGCAAGAGAGAAAGCAAAACAUUCAUGAUGGCCAAGGAUGCAGGCAACAGAAAAAGAGUGAAGAAAACUCACCCACACUAAAAAGAAGGGAAUCAUGAAACCAUUCACCACUUCUACAGACAGCAGGUUAUUUUCUGUACACUGUAGAAUGUGACUGUGUCAAGAGGGCAUAAAAAGGAACCAGCUGAAAUUACUGGAGAGAACACAGGGAAUACUUUAAUGAACCUGGCUAAAAUUAGUCUUGCCUGAAAUGUAAUACUGGCACAGAGUUCUUCAAACAAUGAAGGAUUUACAGUGAAAAUCUACAUUUCCCAAAAUGCAUUCUCAGAAAAGAAUAUAUGUUAUCAGAAGAAAUAUCCUGCCUACCAAGAUGACUUAAGCUUUCUAACCUCAAGAGCUCACAUAAACUUUUCCAGCCAAAAAAAGUCUUUAAAAGAAUACGAUAAAGUGGUAGGUUGGCAAAGAGUAAGUGUAACUUCACAUUCAUUUCUCUUGUUGGUCUAGUUAGCUGUAAGUAAAACUCAUCCUUAAAGAGAGUUAAGAUGUGAUCUCUAGUAACCAACAUGAAAAGGUGACAUCUGCAUUUUUUAAGGACUCCAUAAUUGUUGACUAAAUACAUAUAAUGAGAGGGGCUAUUUUUAAACUCUGUUUUGAUAUAUUAUUAACCAAGAAAAGUUCAGAAGUCCAAUGGUUUAGUCAAAAUCACCUCACAGUUAAAUACCGAGGCUGUAACGUGAAUUUCUGACUCCUGGAUAUCAUCAAUUCUCUAAGAAACAGAUGCUGUUUUGUAAUAAUAAGGUUUCAAUGCAUGCUAAGCAUAGAAAUUUUGUUGUUUCUAUCUUGAAUAAUACUUCAUAUUAAUUAAAGUAGACAGCAUUCUGAUGAGAAGGGAAUUUUGUUUUCCUAGAAAUAUUCUGAAGAAAUAAAAUGCCAGCCAGAUUUAACAAGGUAAAUUCUGCUAUGUGAACAUCCAAUCCAGAUGUAUUAUGAACAGCUUUGUAUGGUAGUACAGAUGUACAUCAGGCAUAUUAACAGUGGUGGGUAUUUUAUUGUAAAGGAUAGAUUAUACAAAACCCUAACAGUAUUUGAAAACUUUUUUUUUUUUAUUUAGCACAUUUCAUCAGGGACCAUAAUGCUUAGCUAAAGUAUUAUAAAGAGUUCCCCCAGCAUUUUGUGAAGGGAAGCUAUAAUUCAGUUCUCCAAAGUUCUGAGAUCACCAGAAACAGAAUAAGGAAGGAGACUGGUAAUAAAAAUGUCUUUACCCAGGUGUAUGUGUGUCUGUGUGUGUGCGUGCGCAUUUGUAUUAAGGAAAUGAGAUCUGUUAACUAUAAAGCAGCUAAGUGGAGUCCAGAAGGGGUAGCCACUGCCUGUUUGGCUCUCUUAAACAGUCCCUCUUCUAUUUCCAGUUGGAAUAUUGGGGGCAGGGAGAUGGGGGAAUAUCAGGAGCUAUUUUUUCCCUUAUACCAUAUGCAUGUCAUGUAUAUAUUAAAUGUCUGCUUUCUGAAUGGCAAAAAUUAUCUAGAAAAUCAUGAGACAAAACAAAACCCCAUAACAUAAAACCAUACUUACAAAAUUAUAUCAUGGCAUGCUAAACAUUAAAUGUUUCCUUCAUCAAGAGGCCUUUUAUGUAGGGACAUGUUCAAAAUAUAUUCUUUAUAUAUAUGAAUUAAAACUCAAGAAGUUUUAAUAACUUGACAUAAACACUGAUUUCAAUGCCUGGCUAUUAAAGGCCAGAAAUAUUUGCUGAAUGCUCAACGACUAGAGGAUUCAUCAGCAAAGACACAAGUUCUCCCCUGCAAAAGUUAAUUUCUUUCUCAUAGCUCAUGAGCUCCUCCUUUUACAUUCUGACUCUAAAUUCUCUGUCCUUGUCAUAAAAUGUAACAUCUUUUUUUAAUCUGUCAAAUAAUAACAAUGAAAAGCCUGAGAAAACUUAACCUGAAAUCUGCAUGCUUUUAUCAAAUUGAUUAAUGCCUUCAUCUAUAAUGAAAUUAUCUUUCCUUCUAAUCAGAUUAUAAGUCACAAUAAAUUGAAUUUCAAGCCUU
Homo sapiens (human) is the source of this 2997-nucleotide long non-coding RNA. RefSeq lists it as uncharacterized. Lineage: Eukaryota; Metazoa; Chordata; Mammalia; Primates; Hominidae. The record is from RefSeq and is a predicted model, not a curated record. The transcript is spliced from 2 exons.